This 253-nucleotide ribosomal RNA is filed under the name uncultured bacterium. Its description in RNAcentral is "partial 16S ribosomal RNA". It matches the Rfam family "Bacterial small subunit ribosomal RNA", at positions 524 to 776 of the family's 1533-position model. The record is from RNAcentral.
UACGUAGGGGGCAAGCGUUGUCCGGAUUUAUUGGGCGUAAAGAGCGUGUAGGCGGUUUGGUAGGUCCGUUGUGAAAACUCGAGGCUCAACCUCGAGACGCCGAUGGAAACCAUCAGACUAGAGUCCGGAAGAGGAGAGUGGAAUUCCUGGUGUAGCGGUGAAAUGCGCAGAUAUCAGGAGGAACACCGGUGGCGAAGGCGGGUCUCUGGGCCGAUACUGACGCUGAGGAGCGAAAGCAUGGGUAGCGAACAGG